UGGACAGAUUAUUGUAUUCGACUGUAUUCACGGCGUGAAACAGGUGAUCACACUGUUUUUAAAACGGAAAGUGAAUCAAUUAACAUAAUAGACUCCU
RNAcentral lists this microRNA precursor (97 nucleotides) under Nicotiana sylvestris (wood tobacco). RNAcentral's name for it is "MIR6152 microRNA precursor family". It matches the Rfam family "MIR6152 microRNA precursor family". Lineage: Eukaryota; Viridiplantae; Streptophyta; Magnoliopsida; Solanales; Solanaceae. The record is from Rfam by way of RNAcentral. RNAcentral also lists the same sequence under 1 other name.